This 529-nucleotide ribosomal RNA is filed under the name Pseudoalteromonas sp. J2142m. RNAcentral's name for it is "bacterial SSU rRNA". It matches the Rfam family "Bacterial small subunit ribosomal RNA", at positions 133 to 663 of the family's 1533-position model. The record is from RNAcentral. Lineage: Bacteria; Pseudomonadati; Pseudomonadota; Gammaproteobacteria; Alteromonadales; Pseudoalteromonadaceae.
GGGGGGGGGGACAACAGUUGGAAACGACUGCUAAUACCGCAUAAUGUCUACAGACCAAAGGGGGCUUCGGCUCUCGCCUUUAGAUUGCCCCAAGUGGGAUUAUCUAGGUGGAGAGGUAAUGGCUCACCAGGGACACUAUCCCUAUGUGGUUUGAGAGGAUGAUCACCCACUGUGGGACUGACACACGGCCCACACUCCUACGGGAGGCAGCAGUGGGGAAUAUUGCACAGUGGGCGCAAGCCUGAUGCACCCAUGCCGCGUGUGUGAAGAAGGCCUUCGGGUUGUAAAGCACUUUCAGUCGGGAGGAAAGGUUAGUAGUUAAUACCUGCUAGCUGUGACGUUACUGACAGAAAAAGCACCGGCUAACUCCGUGCCAGCAGCCGCGGUAAUACGGAGGGUGCGAGCGUUAAUCAGAAUUACUGGGCGUAAAGCGUACGCAGGCGGUUUGUUAAGCGAGAUGUGAAACCCCCGGUCUCAACGUGGGAACUGCAUUUCAAACUGACAAACUAGAGUGUGAUAGAGGGUGGUA